RNAcentral lists this unclassified non-coding RNA (218 nucleotides) under uncultured fungus. Its description in RNAcentral is "sequence contains ITS1". Lineage: Eukaryota; Fungi. The record is from RNAcentral.
UUAUUUUUAUUUGUUUUUUACUCAGACUGCAUUGAAAAUCGGAGUUUAGGGGUCUCUGGCAAGCACUAGCCGGCGAAACGCCGGCAUGAGGUGACCCCAAGGCCUGCCAAAGCAACAAAGGUAAGAUAUACAAAGGGUGAAGAGGGCGGGGCCGAAGCCGCGCACUGGAUCGUGUCCAGUUCUCUUUAAUGAUCCUUCCGCAGGUUCACCUACGGAAA